UGGGGAAUAUUGGACAAUGGGGGAAACCCUGAUCCAGCAAUGCCGCGUGAGGGAAGAAGGCCUUCGGGUUGUAAACCUCUGUCGGAGGGGACGAAACUAUUUAUGGCUAAUAUCCAUAGAUACUGACGGUACCCUCAAAGGAAGCACCGGCUAACUCCGUGCCAGCAGCCGCGGUAAUACGGAGGGUGCAAGCGUUGUUCGGAUUUACUGGGCGUAAAGCGUGUCUAGGCGGAUCUGCAAGUCAGAUGUUAAAGCCCCGGGCUCAACCCGGGAAUGUCGUUUGAAACUGCAGACCUUGAGUAUCGGGGAGGUGAGUGGAAUUCCCAGUGUAGAGGUGAAAUUUGUAGAGAUUGGGAGGAACACCGGAGGCGAAAGCGACUCACUAACCGAUUACUGACGCUCAAGCACGAAAGCGUGGGUAGCAAACAG
This 429-nucleotide ribosomal RNA is filed under the name uncultured bacterium. Its description in RNAcentral is "bacterial SSU rRNA". It matches the Rfam family "Bacterial small subunit ribosomal RNA", at positions 355 to 775 of the family's 1533-position model. The record is from RNAcentral.